AAUUGCAGGUCCUGCCUCAAGAGGUAGCCACCGAAUCUCAGAAAAAGAAAAAUGACCUUGAGACUUGAGACGGCAUAACCUGGUGGAAAUAAUCUUAGAGUGAGAGGACAUAAUUUUCUCCUUCCAAUUUCCCCUUCUGGCUAAGAUAAAAUGGAUAAAUGGGGGGGAAAAAAAAACCCAGAAAAUUUGUGGCUAGGAGACCUGCAUAACAAGAAAUGUUUUUUAAAAAUGUCAGUCCUUAAAUGGAAGGAAAAAAAGUGAUGAAAACUUGGAUCU
Macaca mulatta (Rhesus monkey) is the source of this 276-nucleotide long non-coding RNA. RefSeq lists it as uncharacterized. The record is from RefSeq and is a predicted model, not a curated record. Lineage: Eukaryota; Metazoa; Chordata; Mammalia; Primates; Cercopithecidae.